GUACGUACUGGUAUUGUUGGUUUCUCCCUUCUGACGAACCAUGAUGUCAUUUAUUUGGUGUUGUGGGAAAUCAGGACUGUUACUUUGAAAAAAUUAGAGUGUUUAAAGCAGGCUCACGCUUGAAUACAUUAGCAUGGAAUAAUGAAAUAGGACGUUUGAUUCUAUUUUGUUGGUUUCUAGGAUCGACGUAAUGAUUAAUAGGGAUAGUUGGGGGCAUUAGUAUUCAAUUGUCAGAGGUGAAAUUCUUGGAUUUAUUGAAGACUAACUACUGCGAAAGCAUUUGCCAAGGAUGUUUUCAUUAAUCAAGAACGAAAGUUAGGGGAUCGAAGACGAUCAGAUACCGUCGUAGUCUUAACCAUAAACUAUGCCGACUAGGGAUCGGAUGAUGUUAAUUUUUUAAUGACUCAUUCGGCGCCUUACG
RNAcentral lists this ribosomal RNA (421 nucleotides) under uncultured Glomeromycotina. RNAcentral describes it as "SSU rRNA". It matches the Rfam family "Eukaryotic small subunit ribosomal RNA", at positions 673 to 1092 of the family's 1831-position model. Lineage: Eukaryota; Fungi; Glomeromycota. The record is from RNAcentral.